RNAcentral lists this ribosomal RNA (715 nucleotides) under Streptococcus sp. HFH0006. RNAcentral describes it as "bacterial SSU rRNA". It matches the Rfam family "Bacterial small subunit ribosomal RNA", at positions 65 to 766 of the family's 1533-position model. Lineage: Bacteria; Bacillati; Bacillota; Bacilli; Lactobacillales; Streptococcaceae. The record is from RNAcentral.
CGCUGAAAGAGGAGCUUGCUCUUCUUGGAUGAGUUGCGAACGGGUGAGUAACGCGUAGGUAACCUGCCUUGUAGCGGGGGAUAACUAUUGGAAACGAUAGCUAAUACCGCAUAACAAUGGAUGACACAUGUCAUUUAUUUGAAAGGGGCAAUUGCUCCACUACAAGAUGGACCUGCGUUGUAUUAGCUAGUAGGUGAGGUAACGGCUCACCUAGGCGACGAUACAUAGCCGACCUGAGAGGGUGAUCGGCCACACUGGGACUGAGACACGGCCCAGACUCCUACGGGAGGCAGCAGUAGGGAAUCUUCGGCAAUGGGGGCAACCCUGACCGAGCAACGCCGCGUGAGUGAAGAAGGUUUUCGGAUCGUAAAGCUCUGUUGUAAGUCAAGAACGAGUGUGAGAGUGGAAAAUUCACACUGUGACGGUAGCUUACCAGAAAGGGACGGCUAACUACGUGCCAGCAGCCGCGGUAAUACGUAGGUCCCGAGCGUUGUCCGGAUUUAUUGGGCGUAAAGCGAGCGCAGGCGGUUUGAUAAGUCUGAAGUUAAAGGCUGUGGCUCAACCAUAGUUCGCUUUGGAAACUGUCAAACUUGAGUGCAGAAGGAGAGAGUGGAAUUCCAUGUGUAGCGGUGAAAUGCGUAGAUAUAUGGAGGAACACCGGUGGCGAAAGCGGCUCUCUGGUCUGUAACUGACGCUGAGGCUCGAAAGCGUGGGG